Molecule: long non-coding RNA, 755 nt
Organism: Lolium rigidum
Lineage: Eukaryota; Viridiplantae; Streptophyta; Magnoliopsida; Poales; Poaceae
Exons: 6
Source: RefSeq, a predicted model, not a curated record
GGGAAGGUACGCGCCCUACCCGUCGUUGUAGGAGGUCGAUGAGACAGCCCUGGUCCCCUCUGUGGCUCUGUCCGGCGUCCUCCUCGUGGAUGUUACAGGGCCGGCGCCCCCGGUGCUCUGGCACACAACAAAUUGCAGCUUCAGACCAGAAACGAUUGUUUUGAGAAGUCAAUAGGCCCUCUCCUACUACAUUAGGUUAUUCCUUCGGACUGGAUCAAAUCCAGUAGCAAAGACAUACUGCAGUGGAGGUCUAAUCAAAAGAGACUACUUCCAGUUGAUUCAGGAAAAUGAGGAGUCGUGUCGACAUCGGAAGGGGUGGCUCGAUGGAGAUUGAUGUGUGCGCGUCCGAUGGCUAGCGGGCAAGGAGAGACGUUGAUUCCUCAGUUGUGUUCCUUUUUUUCUUCCAACUUUUGUUCAUUCUAACCUGCAGUAGUGCGUUUGCGGUGCCCAGUUUACAUUACAUCGGAAGGGGUGGCUCCAGUGAGAUUGAUGAGUGCUCAGCCGAUGGCUAGGGGGGAGGGUGGGAGACCUCGAUUCCUCAAUGUAGGGUUGGUGUUAGGCCAGGAGCACGGCGGCAUGCGACAAUACGACAUAAGAAAGGGCUGUAGGGCGAGGCGAUGUGCACCAGCCCUAUGCGACUGCAAGGAGUCAUGAUGCUGUUCAUCGCACCUUGUGCCUUGCUCGCUCUGCCUCUGGGUGAAGGUUGAGGGAUCAGAUGAAGCCGGCACUGACGGAGGAAGGGUCAUCAGGGUGAG